UACGAACUGUGCGAACGUUAUUCGGAAUCACUGGGCUUACAGGGUGCGUAGGCGGCUUAGCAAGUCAGGUGUGAAAGCCCCCGGCUCAACCGGGGAACUGCGCCUGAAACUGCUGAGCUCGAGUCAGCUAGAGGUACACGGAACUUCCAGUGGAGCGGUGAAAUGUGUUGAUAUUGGAAGGAACACCGGAGGCGAAAGCGGUGUACUGGGGCUGGUCUGACGCUGAGGCACGAAAGCCAGGGGAGCGAACGGG
This 253-nucleotide ribosomal RNA is filed under the name uncultured bacterium. RNAcentral's name for it is "partial 16S ribosomal RNA". It matches the Rfam family "Bacterial small subunit ribosomal RNA", at positions 524 to 776 of the family's 1533-position model. The record is from RNAcentral.